RNAcentral lists this ribosomal RNA (159 nucleotides) under Graphium penicillioides. Its description in RNAcentral is "5.8S ribosomal RNA". It matches the Rfam family "5.8S ribosomal RNA". From Rfam's summary of the family: 5.8S ribosomal RNA (5.8S rRNA) is a component of the large subunit of the eukaryotic ribosome. It is transcribed by RNA polymerase I as part of the 45S precursor that also contains 18S and 28S rRNA. Functionally, it is thought that 5.8S rRNA may be involved in ribosome translocation. RNAcentral also lists the same sequence under 10 other names. The record is from RNAcentral. Lineage: Eukaryota; Fungi; Ascomycota; Sordariomycetes; Microascales; Graphiaceae.
AAAACUUUCAACAACGGAUCUCUUGGCUGUGGCAUCGAUGAAGAACGCAGCGAAAUGCGAUAACUAAUGUGAAUUGCAGAAUUCAGUGAAUCAUCGAGUCUUUGAACGCACAUUGCGCCCGCUGGUAUUCCGGCGGGCAUGCCUGUCCGAGCGUCAUUU